This 721-nucleotide long non-coding RNA is filed under the name Sinocyclocheilus grahami. Its description in RNAcentral is "lncRNA (ENSSGRG00000014021.1)". Lineage: Eukaryota; Metazoa; Chordata; Actinopteri; Cypriniformes; Cyprinidae. The record is from RNAcentral.
GUGAACAUGAUGUUUGUGGCUUAAACAGGACAGUCUGCCUCUUAUGAAGUCUAUGUUGACAGCAUCAUCCUAUAACAGCAACAGUUCACCCAACGAAUGUGGAAUAUACAGAACAACAAUCUACAAUAACAGCAGCAGUUGGAGGCUCUGAGCUGAGGCAGGGAGCGGAGGCAGCAGCAAGGAAGAGGAGACGAGACAAGAGGAGUGGAGGAAGAAGAGAACAACAGCAAAGCCAGGCAGACGGAGAGACCCCGCUCAGAUUGGCAUACGAGCAUUCAAGGGCUGGGAAAAUCCAAACAGGUUUAGGUGGCAAGAAUCAGUUUUCAGAGAGAUGAGAAGUGGUCUACGACACGAUAUGUGGAGGCAGCGCUCCGUGCUGAAUAUUGCUGCUGUAUGCGUAUGCUGCCUAUGACUGGUCUGCAAUUGAUUUGAGGAAAGAAUAACACUUAAUGUAACAAACUUUAAUGUUUUGAACAAGUUAAUUGCUGAUUUUUAAGGGGCUGAGAUGAAAAGGACAAAACCUUUCUGUUUCUAGGGAGACAGGUCUGAUAAUCAAGAGACUUAAUGUGAGGUCACAUUUUAAGACAUUUUUAAGACCACUCUCCAUUUUACUCUCCAUUUAAUCUCAUUGCUUAAACAACUGAUGUAUUUAAGAAUCUGAAACACUUUGCAAUAAGGUUUCAUUUGCUAAUAUUAGUUAACUAUGUUAGUUAACAUGACC